RNAcentral lists this ribosomal RNA (277 nucleotides) under Streptomyces rimosus. RNAcentral describes it as "partial 23S ribosomal RNA". It matches the Rfam family "Bacterial large subunit ribosomal RNA", at positions 1225 to 1502 of the family's 2925-position model. The record is from RNAcentral. Lineage: Bacteria; Bacillati; Actinomycetota; Actinomycetes; Kitasatosporales; Streptomycetaceae.
UGGGUAGGGGAGCGUCGUGUGCCGGGUGAAGCAACGCCGGAAGGUAGUUGUGGACGGUUCACGAGUGAGAAUGCAGGCAUGAGUAGCGAUACACACGUGGGAAACGUGUGCGCCGAUUGACUAAGGGUUCCUGGGUCAAGCUGAUCUGCCCAGGGUAAGUCGGGACCUAAGGCGAGGCCGACAGGCGUAGUCGAUGGACAACCGGUUGAUAUUCCGGUACCCGCUUUGAAGCGCCAAACAUCGAAUCCUCUGAUGCUAAGGCCGUGAAGCCGCCCUG